AAAGUUCAGAUUUGACUUAGUGGCGGACGGGUGAGUAAUGCAUGAGCAACCUGCCCUGCAGUGGGGGACAACAGUUGGAAACGACUGCUAAUACCGCAUGAUGUGCCGAGGGGGCAUCCCUUUGGCACCAAAGAUUUAUCGCUGUGGGAUGGGCUCAUGUCUGAUUAGUUAGUUGGUGGGGUAACGGCUCACCAAGACUGCGAUCAGUAGCCGGACUGAGAGGUUGAACGGCCACAUUGGGACUGAGAUACGGCCCAGACUCC
RNAcentral lists this ribosomal RNA (263 nucleotides) under uncultured Oscillospiraceae bacterium. RNAcentral's name for it is "partial 16S ribosomal RNA". It matches the Rfam family "Bacterial small subunit ribosomal RNA", at positions 74 to 339 of the family's 1533-position model. Lineage: Bacteria; Bacillati; Bacillota; Clostridia; Eubacteriales; Oscillospiraceae. The record is from RNAcentral.